RNAcentral lists this ribosomal RNA (494 nucleotides) under uncultured bacterium. RNAcentral's name for it is "partial 16S ribosomal RNA". It matches the Rfam family "Bacterial small subunit ribosomal RNA", at positions 28 to 507 of the family's 1533-position model. The record is from RNAcentral.
GACGAACGCUGGCGGCGUGCUUAACACAUGCAAGUCGAACGGUGAAGCGCCUUCCUUUUUGGUGGGUGUGGAUGAGUGGCGAACGGGUGAGUAACACGUGAGUAACCUUCCCCCUUCUUCUGGAUAACCGCAUGAAAGUUUGGCUAAUACGGGAUAUUCUGGGUCUGUCGCAUGAUGGGUCUGGGAAAGAUAUUGUUUCGGUGGGGGAUGGGCUCGCGGCCUAUCAGCUUGUUGUUGGGGUGGUGGCCUACCAAGGCGGGGACGGGUAGCCGGCCUGAGAGGGUGGCCGGUCACACUGGGAAGGAGACACGGCCAAGACUGCUAUGGGAGGCAGCAGUGAGGAAUAUUGGAGGAUGGGGGCAAGCAUGAUGCAGCGACGGCGCGUGAGGGAUGGAGGCCUUCGGGUUGUGAACCUCUUUCGCCAGUGAAGCAGGCCUGCCUUGUUUGUGGGUGGGUUGACGGUAGCUGGAUAAGAAGCGCCGGCUAACUACGUG